AUGUAUUUUGGAGGGAAAUAUUGUUAGUAGAGCAGUUGGAAUAAACUAAAUCAAUUAGGAAGUUGUUAGCUUAACUGAAUUGGUGAGUGGCUGAUAAGCUACUCUGUUAUGAAUCGGAAUACUGAUUGAAAAAUUCAUUCUACCCUUGAAUCAAUGCAAAGAUAUCUUCUCUUCUCAAGAAUUCUAUUAUCUUCUCAUCUGAAUCUCUCUCUCUUCUCAUCUAAUUUUUGUUUUCUCGAGAUUCCUGUUUCAAUCUGUGCAUCCAAAGAUCGAUCCUAGACUGAUAACCGACACAAUAUCAUGCAUUAAUUGAGAAAGAACAUGCAUAUGACUUUCUCAUAGGACUAAAUAUUGAG
RNAcentral lists this unclassified non-coding RNA (356 nucleotides) under Hevea brasiliensis (rubber tree). The record is from RNAcentral. Lineage: Eukaryota; Viridiplantae; Streptophyta; Magnoliopsida; Malpighiales; Euphorbiaceae.